Molecule: unclassified non-coding RNA, 262 nt
Filed under: Hevea brasiliensis (rubber tree)
Lineage: Eukaryota; Viridiplantae; Streptophyta; Magnoliopsida; Malpighiales; Euphorbiaceae
Source: RNAcentral
UACCAAACGACCAAUAAAGCCACAACAUUUUCGUAAAUUAUCAAUUUCAGCCAAUCCUUUUAAUUUUAUCAAUUUCUAUCCCAAACUUUAGAACUGAUUUCAAUUUUAACCAUUCAAGUCAAAAGAAUAUGAAAUUACCAAAAAAAGUCAAAAGUACCAAUUUUGGCUAAUCCUCAUAAUUUUAGAAAUAUAUUGAGAUAAUAUAGAAGCUUUUAUGGGAAUUAUUAUUAGUAGUAUGCUAGAUAGUGAGAGUAAACAAAGA